This is a non-coding RNA of Pelobates cultripes (western spadefoot toad), 220 nucleotides long. NCBI's taxonomy places the organism in Eukaryota, Metazoa, Chordata, Amphibia, Anura, Pelobatidae. The record is from the annotation of a GenBank genome assembly.
GAGGGGAUGACUGGUGACAGAGUGAGGGAGUGACUAGUAACAGAGGGAGGGAGUGACUAGUGACAGAGGGAGGGAGGGAGGGGAUGACUGUCUAGUGACAGUCACCCCAUCCCUCUCUCUGUCACUAGUCACUCCCUCCCUAACUCUGUCACUGUGUCACCCGCUCCCUCACUCUGUCACUAGUCACCCCCUCCCUCACUCUGUCACUAAUCACCCCCUC